Molecule: ribosomal RNA, 1300 nt
Filed under: uncultured organism
Description: bacterial SSU rRNA
Rfam family: Bacterial small subunit ribosomal RNA
Source: RNAcentral
GGUAAUACUGGAUGACAUCUUCGGAUCAAAGGUGAGAUUCCGCCCUUGGAUCGGACCGCGUACUAUUAGCUUGUUGGUGGGGUAAUGGCUCACCAAGGCUGCGAUGGUUACCGGGUGUGAGAGCAUGGCCCAGCUCACUGGGACUGAGACACUGCCCAGACACCUACGGGUGGCUGCAGUCGAGAAUCUUCGGCAAUGGACGAAAGUCUGACCGAGCGACGCCGCGUGCGGGAUGAAGGCCCUCGGGUUGUAAACCGCUGUCAGUUGGGAGGAAAGGUCUGUGCAGAGCAGACCCUGACCGAUCUUCAGAGGAAGGACGGGCUAAGUUCGUGCCAGCAGCCGCGGUAAGACGAACCGUCCAAACGUUAUUCGGUAUCACUGGGCUUAAAGCGUGCGUAGGCGGCCAGGUAGGUGAGAUGUGAAAGCCCACGGCUCAACCGUGGAAUUGCGUUUCAAACCCUCUGGCUUGAGGGAGACAGGGGUGUUGGGAACUUAUGGUGGAGCGGUGAAAUGCGUUGAUAUCAUAGGGAACACCGGUGGCGAAGGCGCAACACUGGGUCUUUUCUGACGCUGAGGCACGAAAGCUAGGGUAGCGAACGGGAUUAGAUACCCCGGUAGUCCUAGCCGUAAACGAUGAGCACUGGGUUGAGGGGACUUCCACAUCCUCUCGGCUGUAGCGAAAGCGUUAAGUGCUCCGCCUGGGGAGUAUGGUCGCAAGGCUGAAACUUAAAGGAAUUGACGGAGGCCCGCACAAGCGGAGGAGCAUGUGGUUUAAUUCGAUGAUGCGCGAGGAACCUUACCUGGGCUUAAAUGUAUAUUGACGUACUGAGAAAUCAGUAUUUCUUCGGACAAUUUACAAGGUGCUGCAUGGUUGUCGUCAGCUCGUGCCGUGAGGUGUCGGGUUAAGUCCCAUAACGAGCGCAACCCCUACUUCUAGUUACCAGCAUUUCGGAUGGGGACUCUAGAGGAACUGCCUACGCAAGUAGAGAGGAAGGUGGGGAUGACGUCAAAUCAGCACGGCCCUUAUGUCCAGGGCUACACACGUGCUACAAUGGCCGGUACAGAGGGCAGCUACAUAGCAAUAUGAUGCUAAUCUCAAAAGCCGGUCUUAGUCCGGAUUGGAGUCUGCAACUCGACUCCAUGAAGCUGGAUUCGCUAGUAAUCGCACAUCAGCAAUGGUGCGGUGAAUACGUUCCCGGGCAUUGUACACACCGCCCGUCAAGCCAUGGAAGUUGGGGGUACCUGAAGUCGAUUGCCGUAAGGCGUUGCCUAGGGUAAACCAAUGACUGGGGCUAAGUCG